CCCUACCUCUUCUGGGAUUGUUCCCGAUAUCGGAUUUCGUCCUAGGCCUAAUUGGACAAGGUUAGACAGAUUGCCAAUGGAGCUAGGUAAUACACCACCAAAAUUGUUACCAUCAAAAUAUAGUUGUUGUAGACGGCUGCAGUUGGCCAGAGAUGGUAAAAAACUCAAAUCUUGACUCGUGUUGCUGCCGAAGAAAUUGAACUCCACGUGAAGCUGUUCAAGACCCUUGAGAUUUCCCAGAUUAGUCGGAACUGGUCCCGUGAAACUGUUGGUAGAUAUGUCAAUAAGCCAAAGCUGAGAAGCGUUGGCCAAUGAUUCUGGAAUAGUUCCAUAAAAUCCAUUUUCAGCUAAGAGCAGUUGUUGCAGGUUAGGAAGAGUAAGGCCUAUGUUUGCUGGGAGACUCCCACUUAAUUGA
This 415-nucleotide unclassified non-coding RNA is filed under the name Hevea brasiliensis (rubber tree). Lineage: Eukaryota; Viridiplantae; Streptophyta; Magnoliopsida; Malpighiales; Euphorbiaceae. The record is from RNAcentral.